CCUACGGGGGGCAGCAGUGAGGAAUAUUGGUCAAUGGCCGGAAGGCUGAACCAGCCAUGCCGCGUGAAGGUCAGUGCUCUAUGGGCGUUAAACUUCUUUUGUGCGGGAGCAAUAAUGGUCACGUGUGGCCAGACGAGAGUACCGUACGAAUAAGCAUCGGCUAAAUCCGUGCCAGCAGCCGCGGUAAUACGGGGGAUGCAAGCGUUAUCCGGAUUUAUUGGGUUUAAAGGGUGCGUAGGCUGUGAGGUAAGUCAGCGGUGAAAUGCCCCCGCGCACCGGGGUGAAGUGCCAUUGAUACUGGCUGGCUGGAAUGCGGAUGCCGUGGGAGGAAUGUGAGGUGUAGCGGUGAAAUGCAUAGAUAUAACACAGAACACCGAUUGCGAAGGCAUCUCACGAAUCCGCGAUUGACGCUGAUGCACGAAAGCGUGGGUAUCAAACAGGAUUAGAUACCCGGGUAGUC
Molecule: ribosomal RNA, 460 nt
Filed under: uncultured bacterium
Lineage: Bacteria
Description: partial 16S ribosomal RNA
Rfam family: Bacterial small subunit ribosomal RNA
Source: RNAcentral